RNAcentral lists this unclassified non-coding RNA (240 nucleotides) under soil metagenome. Its description in RNAcentral is "partial contains 5.8S ribosomal RNA, internal transcribed spacer 2, and large subunit ribosomal RNA". The record is from RNAcentral.
AACCUUAUGGACCUGCGGGCGUAUACCUGCGGAGGGAUCAUUAACGCGUCUCCGACGGCGAGGGCGCGCCCCAGCUCCGGGCCGAAAGGCCGCGCUGCGGGGCGGCCCGAGCCGCUCGACCUUUGCGAACCCGCUGUGCACUUUUGUCGGCAGAGGCCCCCCCGGGGCCCGAGCCGGAAUCACAAACCCACUCGAAUCGAACGCUGAGCGGCCCCCGUGCCGCCUAAACUUUGACAACUU